CCUACGGGGUGCAGCAGUGAGGAAUAUUGGUCAAUGGGCGCGAGCCUGAACCAGCCAAGUCGCGUGAGGGAAGACGGUCCUAUGGAUUGUAAACCUCUUUUGUCGGGGAGCAAAAGACGCCACGCGUGGCGUUCCGAGUGUACCCGAAGAAAAAGCAUCGGCUAACUCCGUGCCAGCAGCCGCGGUAAUACGGAGGAUGCGAGCGUUAUCCGGAUUUAUUGGGUUUAAAGGGUGCGCAGGGUGAUGAUCAAGUCAGCGGUAAAAUUGAGAGGCACAACCUCUACGUGCCGUUGAACUGGUUGUCUUGAGUGAGUUAGAAGUAUGCGGAAUGCGUGGUGUAGCGGUGAAAUGCAUAGAUAUCACGCAGAACUCCGAUUGCGAAGGCAGCAUAC
Molecule: ribosomal RNA, 392 nt
Filed under: uncultured bacterium
Lineage: Bacteria
Description: partial 16S ribosomal RNA
Rfam family: Bacterial small subunit ribosomal RNA
Source: RNAcentral